This 537-nucleotide ribosomal RNA is filed under the name uncultured marine picoplankton. RNAcentral's name for it is "SSU rRNA". It matches the Rfam family "Eukaryotic small subunit ribosomal RNA", at positions 600 to 1141 of the family's 1831-position model. The record is from RNAcentral.
UAUACUAAAGUUGUUGCAGUUAAAAAGCUCGUAGUUGAAUUUCUGGUCUCGGACAUCGGUCUGCCUCGAACGAGGUACGUACCAGUUGUCUGAAUCCAUCCUCGGGGAAAACAUGUCUGGCAUUCAGUUGUUGGGCAUGGGAUCCUCGUCAUUUACUGUGAGCAAAAUAGAGUGUUCAAAGCAGGCUUAUGCCGUUGAAUACAUUAGCAUGGAAUAAUAAGAUAGGACCUUGGUCUAUUUUGUUGGUUUGUACUCCAAGGUAAUGAUUAAUAGGGAUAGUUGGGGGUAUUCGUAUUCAAUUGUCAGAGGUGAAAUUCUUGGAUUUAUGGAAGACGAACUACUGCGAAAGCAUUUACCAAGGAUGUUUUCAUUAAUCAAGAACGAAAGUUAGGGGAUCGAAGAUGAUUAGAUACCAUCGUAGUCUUAACCAUAAACUAUGCCGACUAGGGAUUGGUGGACGUUUGUAACGACUCCAUCAGCACCUUAUGAGAAAUCAAAGUCUUUGGGUUCCGGGGGGAGUAUGGUCGCAAGGCUGAA